Molecule: ribosomal RNA, 319 nt
Filed under: uncultured eukaryote
Lineage: Eukaryota
Description: partial 18S ribosomal RNA
Rfam family: Eukaryotic small subunit ribosomal RNA
Source: RNAcentral
CCCUUAGAUGUCCUGGGCCGCACGCGUGCUACACUGACGCCUACAGCGAGUACUUCCCAGCCCCGAGAGGCGGCUGGUAAUCAGCAAUAGGCGUCGUGAUGGGGAUAGAUCUUUGGAAUUAUGGAUCUUGAACGAGGAAUGCCUAGUAAGCGCAGGUCAUUAGCCUGCGCUGAUUACGUCCCUGCCCUUUGUAUACACCGCCCGUCGCUACUACCGAUUUCGAGUGGUCCGGUGAAGCUUUUGGACUGCGCGUGGCUUCGUGCCGUGUCGCGGAAAGUCAGCUAAACCUUAUCACUUAGAGGAAGUAAAAGUCGUAACA